UUAAGCGACUAAGCGUACACGGUGGAUGCCCUGGCAGUCAGAGGCGAUGAAGGACGUGCUAAUCUGCGAUAAGCGUCGGUAAGGUGAUAUGAACCGUUAUAACCGGCGAUUUCCGAAUGGGGAAACCCAGUGUGUUUCGACACACUAUCAUUAACUGAAUCCAUAGGUUAAUGAGGCGAACCGGGGGAACUGAAACAUCUAAGUACCCCGAGGAAAAGAAAUCAACCGAGAUUCCCCCAGUAGCGGCGAGCGAACGGGGAGCAGCCCAGAGCCUGAAUCAGUGUGUGUGUUAGUGGAAGCGUCUGGAAAGGCGCGCGAUACAGGGUGACAGCCCCGUACACAAAAAUGCACAUGCUGUGAGCUCGAUGAGUAGGGCGGGACACGUGGUAUCCUGUCUGAAUAUGGGGGGACCAUCCUCCAAGGCUAAAUACUCCUGACUGACCGAUAGUGAACCAGUACCGUGAGGGAAAGGCGAAAAGAACCCCGGCGAGGGGAGUGAAAAAGAACCUGAAACCGUGUACGUACAAGCAGUGGGAGCCUCUUUUAUGGGGUGACUGCGUACCUUUUGUAUAAUGGGUCAGCGACUUAUAUUCUGUAGCAAGGUUAACCGAAUAGGGGAGCCGAAGGGAAACCGAGUCUUAACUGGGCGUUAAGUUGCAGGGUAUAGACCCGAAACCCGGUGAUCUAGCCAUGGGCAGGUUGAAGGUUGGGUAACACUAACUGGAGGACCGAACCGACUAAUGUUGAAAAAUUAGCGGAUGACUUGUGGCUGGGGGUGAAAGGCCAAUCAAACCGGGAGAUAGCUGGUUCUCCCCGAAAGCUAUUUAGGUAGCGCCUCGUGAAUUCAUCUCCGGGGGUAGAGCACUGUUUCGGCAAGGGGGUCAUCCCGACUUACCAACCCGAUGCAAACUGCGAAUACCGGAGAAUGUUAUCACGGGAGACACACGGCGGGUGCUAACGUCCGUCGUGAAGAGGGAAACAACCCAGACCGCCAGCUAAGGUCCCAAAGUCAUGGUUAAGUGGGAAACGAUGUGGGAAGGCCCAGACAGCCAGGAUGUUGGCUUAGAAGCAGCCAUCAUUUAAAGAAAGCGUAAUAGCUCACUGGUCGAGUCGGCCUGCGCGGAAGAUGUAACGGGGCUAAACCAUGCACCGAAGCUGCGGCAGCGACGCUGAUGCGUUGUUGGGUAGGGGAGCGUUCUGUAAGCCUGUGAAGGUGUGCUGUGAGGCAUGCUGGAGGUAUCAGAAGUGCGAAUGCUGACAUAAGUAACGAUAAAGCGGGUGAAAAGCCCGCUCGCCGGAAGACCAAGGGUUCCUGUCCAACGUUAAUCGGGGCAGGGUGAGUCGACCCCUAAGGCGAGGCCGAAAGGCGUAGUCGAUGGGAAACAGGUUAAUAUUCCUGUACUUGGUGUUACUGCGAAGGGGGGACGGAGAAGGCUAUGUUGGCCGGGCGACGGUUGUCCCGGUUUAAGCGUGUAGGCUGGUUUUCCAGGCAAAUCCGGAAAAUCAAGGCUGAGGCGUGAUGACGAGGCACUACGGUGCUGAAGCAACAAAUGCCCUGCUUCCAGGAAAAGCCUCUAAGCAUCAGGUAACAUCAAAUCGUACCCCAAACCGACACAGGUGGUCAGGUAGAGAAUACCAAGGCGCUUGAGAGAACUCGGGUGAAGGAACUAGGCAAAAUGGUGCCGUAACUUCGGGAGAAGGCACGCUGAUAUGUAGGUGAAGUCCCUUGCGGAUGGAGCUGAAAUCAGUCGAAGAUACCAGCUGGCUGCAACUGUUUAUUAAAAACACAGCACUGUGCAAACACGAAAGUGGACGUAUACGGUGUGACGCCUGCCCGGUGCCGGAAGGUUAAUUGAUGGGGUCAGCGCAAGCGAAGCUCUUGAUCGAAGCCCCGGUAAACGGCGGCCGUAACUAUAACGGUCCUAAGGUAGCGAAAUUCCUUGUCGGGUAAGUUCCGACCUGCACGAAUGGCGUAAUGAUGGCCAGGCUGUCUCCACCCGAGACUCAGUGAAAUUGAACUCGCUGUGAAGAUGCAGUGUACCCGCGGCAAGACGGAAAGACCCCGUGAACCUUUACUAUAGCUUGACACUGAACAUUGAGCCUUGAUGUGUAGGAUAGGUGGGAGGCUUAGAAGUGUGGACGCCAGUCUGCAUGGAGCCGACCUUGAAAUACCACCCUUUAAUGUUUGAUGUUCUAACGUUGACCCGUAAUCCGGGUUGCGGACAGUGUCUGGUGGGUAGUUUGACUGGGGCGGUCUCCUCCUAAAGAGUAACGGAGGAGCACGAAGGUUGGCUAAUCCUGGUCGGACAUCAGGAGGUUAGUGCAAUGGCAUAAGCCAGCUUGACUGCGAGCGUGACGGCGCGAGCAGGUGCGAAAGCAGGUCAUAGUGAUCCGGUGGUUCUGAAUGGAAGGGCCAUCGCUCAACGGAUAAAAGGUACUCCGGGGAUAACAGGCUGAUACCGCCCAAGAGUUCAUAUCGACGGCGGUGUUUGGCACCUCGAUGUCGGCUCAUCACAUCCUGGGGCUGAAGUAGGUCCCAAGGGUAUGGCUGUUCGCCAUUUAAAGUGGUACGCGAGCUGGGUUUAGAACGUCGUGAGACAGUUCGGUCCCUAUCUGCCGUGGGCGCUGGAGAACUGAGGGGGGCUGCUCCUAGUACGAGAGGACCGGAGUGGACGCAUCACUGGUGUUCGGGUUGUCAUGCCAAUGGCACUGCCCGGUAGCUAAAUGCGGAAGAGAUAAGUGCUGAAAGCAUCUAAGCACGAAACUUGCCCCGAGAUGAGUUCUCCCUGACCCUUUAAGGGUCCUGAAGGAACGUUGAAGACGACGACGUUGAUAGGCCGGGUGUGUAAGCGCAGCGAUGCGUUGAGCUAACCGGUACUAAUGAACCGUGAGGCUUAACCUU
RNAcentral lists this ribosomal RNA (2902 nucleotides) under Escherichia coli. Its description in RNAcentral is "bacterial LSU rRNA". It matches the Rfam family "Bacterial large subunit ribosomal RNA". Lineage: Bacteria; Pseudomonadati; Pseudomonadota; Gammaproteobacteria; Enterobacterales; Enterobacteriaceae. The record is from RNAcentral.